GAUGAACGUUGGCGGUGUGCCUAAUACAUGCAAGUCGAACGGAGACUGUAGCAAUACUGUCUUAGUGGCGAACGGGUGAGUAACGCGUUGGUGAUCUGCCUCGAAGUGUGGAAUAACCUCCCGAAAGGGAAGCUAAUACCGCAUAGUCUCUCAAGGUUUAGAAAAUUGAGAGUAAAGGAUUUAUUCGCUUCGAGAGGAGCCUGCGUCCCAUCAGCUAGUUGGUAGGGUAACGGCCUACCAAGGCAAUGACGGGUAGGGGACCUGAGAGGACGAUCCCCCACACUGGUACUGAGACACGGACCAGACUCCUACGGGAGGCAGCAGUGAGGAAUAUUGGUCAAUGGGCGCAAGCCUGAACCAGCCAUCCCGCGUGAAGGAAGAAUGCGCUACGCGUUGUAAACUUCUUUUCCAGGGGGAGAAUAAUCCUGUCGUGACAGGACUUGACGGUACUCUGGGAAUAAGCAUCGGCUAACUCCGUG
This 479-nucleotide ribosomal RNA is filed under the name uncultured bacterium. Its description in RNAcentral is "bacterial SSU rRNA". It matches the Rfam family "Bacterial small subunit ribosomal RNA", at positions 28 to 507 of the family's 1533-position model. The record is from RNAcentral.